GAAUUUGAAGAAUUCUAAUAAACUUUCAAUGUUCAAGAUUUCUGAAAAUCUGACGAAGAAUGAUGAAUCCUUGUGAUGAAUGUGAAGAAGUUGGAACAGAGAAGGUUGAAUCUGAACCUACACAUGAAAACUCGAACUUUCUUCUAUAUUUCUAAAACUUUUGAUUCUUUAUCUUUCUAUUAAGAAGUCAAUGUUUUUAAGUUAUAUAAUCCUAAAAAUAUGAUUUUAAUCUUAUCAAGCCAUGAGAAAUGUUAAUCAUGAGCUUUUUUAUAUAAAAUUCUUUAUCUAAUUGAGAUUUCGAAAGAAAGAAAGCUUUUAAUUUGAGAGUAAAGAUUUUAGUUUGUAUAACGAAGAUUUUAAUUUGGAAAAAAGGAAAUAAAACUAUAUAUCGUCUUUUUCAGACGAAGAAUGGGUUGAUUAUACUGUAACCCUAUUAAGUCUCCAGGUCUCAGCUUUUACGAGGACCGUCUCUACCCUGAUGUUCAUAUACUUCUCUGUCUGAUAGAUGUAAUGGAAUAGAUACUCUCCACCUGGUGAGAUCUUCUGAUGUCGUCUUCUUUCUUAAGAACUGUUCUAGAUUACUUUGGCCGUCUUCCACCAUCGUGACUCUACCUGAUCAUCAUCCUGAGCAUGUGAAUGUGACUCCACCUCCUCUGUUCUACAACUCGGAGUGCUGAUUGCUCCGAACGAGCUGCCUCCGACUGGAUACGCUGAUUUACGAGGACUUAUGUUGGAACGUCAUAUGCUUUAGACGUGUCCUGUUAAGAUUCCUCAAGAUCAGAGAACAAUAUCAAGGAUGUCGUCUUCCCCUUGUUUCUCUGAUACUCUCCUUCACUGCUUUAAGGAUCGCACCUAAAGACUAGAAAGGACUCUGAAUGAAGUAUAAGAUAUUCUCUCUCUAAACUGUAGCUCAUAUCAAGACCCCAGCCAGAGCAACUUUGUAAGUGUGUUUUAAAUAUUGAACAUUUUACUAAUAUGAUUUCUUUGUGAUUCAAAAACUAAAUUUCUUUAUUGA
RNAcentral lists this long non-coding RNA (1015 nucleotides) under Eurytemora carolleeae. Its description in RNAcentral is "uncharacterized LOC111697077". Lineage: Eukaryota; Metazoa; Arthropoda; Copepoda; Calanoida; Temoridae. The record is from RNAcentral.